CCCGUGUUGAACGCAACCGCGUGGGCGUACAGGUACUGAUGGCAUGGCCCUCCUGCGUUUAUGUCCACCUUCACUGAUUUUGAUAAUUCAUUUUAAAAACCACAAACCCAUUCAUUCCCAAUUCCAUUUUGCACACUUUGAGAAUUGAGGUAGGACGACCAGACUUGAGUGGGUCCUUUUAUCAUUCACAACUGCGAUCCCAUGACCAUCAUUUUGAUUUCUGAAUAAACCCAAAACAAAGAGAAAAGAAACAAGUCUCUUCGCGAAAUUUCAACACCCCAAAGCCCACUCCAUUUCGCAGCAGUAGUCAUCAAUCAUCAUUCAUCACCUCUCCAACAAGAAAAAGAAAAAAGCCAUGGACACCGAAGCUUCACCGUUUGAGAGCAGCGAGAUGCUAGCCACUUUCCUCACAUCCACACCAUUGCUAUCUAUGUCAUGGAGCUUAUGCGAUCGCGCCAACACGAUGCCGUCGCAAGGUUUUGUAGCAGAGCAGAUGGGAAGCGUCGGCCAUCUGGCAUUUUCUGGUGUUCAAUUGGGGUCAGGGCCCGACCCAACCUCCGGCAGAAAUCUUGAACCGCUUGUUACUGCUACCAAUGGCCUUUUCUUUCCUUUGGAGCAUCAAUUUGAUGGAGAAGAAGGAGGAGGAGAAGAAGAAGGGAAGGAGCCUGUCCUGGUUCAUGCUGGGUUCUUGCGGAUCUUCCUAUCUGUCAAAAGCAACCCAAAUUUUCAAAAUCGGAUGUUAAAUAUGAUUCAGAAUAGCAAGUCAAUAGUGAUAGCAGGCCACGGCAUAGGAGGAACAGUUGCUGGACUUUGUGCUCUUUGGCUACUAUCUUACCUUCAAUCCAUCUCUUCUAAUAUCUCAGUAUUAUGCAUCACUUUUGGCUCUCCAUUGCUGGGCAAUGAGUCUCUUUCUCGUGCCAUUCUCCGCGAGGGAUGGAGUGGCAACUUCUGCCAUGUGGUAUCAAAACAUGAUGUGUUUCCAAGGCUAUUCUUUGCUCCUCUUGCUCCCCUAAAUCCUCAGCUGCAUUCCUUGCUUCAAUUCUGGCAGUUAUCCAUGACUUCACCGCCCCUUGCUUUGCUUGCUGAAAAAUUACUUGAUGAAGGGAAAUCUCAAAUUUUCCGCACUGUAUUAGCUUCCCUGGAAGGUUUGGCAAAAGCCGAACAAGGGAAAAACGUAACUUGCGGCUUUUGGCCAUUUGGGAACUAUUUCUUCUGUUCUGAAGAUGGAGCUAUUUGUAACGACAAUGCAACAUUUAUUGUCAAGAUGAUGCAUUCGCUGUUGCUGAACAGUUCACCAAGCUGUAGCAUUGAGGAUCACCUUAAGUAUGGAUACUAUGUUGAGAAAGCCUCUCUCCAGGUUCUGACGAAGACGAGUUUCCCGCCUGCGGAGCUUCCUGAAUCAAGCUAUGAAGCUGGUGUUGCACUGGCUUUGCAGUCCUCAGGAAUAGCUUGCCAGGACGAAUCUGUUGCUCGACCAGCCAAAAAUUGCCUGAAACUGGCAAGGCGAAUGGGACGUACACCAAACCUUAACUGUGCCAAUCUAGCAAUUAAAUUGUCUAAAAUAACACCUUAUAGGGCAGAAAUAGAGUGGUACAAAGCAACAUGUGAUCAGUCUGAUGCUCAAAUGGGGUAUUAUGACUCUUUCAAGCAAAGAGGAGCCUCGAAGAGGGACUUUAAAGUCAACAUGAAUCGG
RNAcentral lists this unclassified non-coding RNA (1693 nucleotides) under Hevea brasiliensis (rubber tree). Lineage: Eukaryota; Viridiplantae; Streptophyta; Magnoliopsida; Malpighiales; Euphorbiaceae. The record is from RNAcentral.